RNAcentral lists this unclassified non-coding RNA (757 nucleotides) under Hevea brasiliensis (rubber tree). The record is from RNAcentral. Lineage: Eukaryota; Viridiplantae; Streptophyta; Magnoliopsida; Malpighiales; Euphorbiaceae.
CUCCAAAACUAUGUACCUCUCCUACUUCUAUACAUCUUCGAGUAUUAAGAUUAAAAAAAAUAAUAAUAACAAUAAUAAUAAUUAAAAAACAAGAAAAUUGUCAGUUUCAGGAGGGUGAUUAUUGAGUCCUUUAACCCACACCCUUGUUUCUGUCGUCUCGUCUUCUUGAUUGGUAACCUUUUCCUCUUUUUCACCUUCAUUUCCGCUAAAUAUUCUCUGGACAAAAGACUCCACAUCAAUUUUCAUAGUUCCCUCCUUACCCUCCUUCUCCCAAAACUCAUAACUUGCCGGCGGAAUGUACGGUGGCCUCGCCAUUUGCAGUAUCAAAGCCCAGUCGAUGCCCUCAAAAAAUUCGUGGCGUUUGAUUUCUUCAGCUUUGAUCCUACUCUUGGGGUCUUUCACCAGUAACUUUCCUAUCAGGUCCCUCAACGGCGUCGCUUCCCCCACGAGAUCCGGCGAUUUCGUUAAAAUCUUGAAAAAUGUAUCCUUCCUAUUUGCACCCUUAAACGGUGUCACUCCAUACAACAUCUCGUAUAGUACGACUCCUAAGGACCACCAGUCCACCGCAAAAUCGUGGCCGUACCCUUGGAUUAUUUCCGGCGCCACGUAUUCUUCGGUUCCUACGAACGAGUUGGACUUUUCGAUGGUGUCUAACUCCGGAGGUGGCGUGCUGAGACCGCGUUCCGAUGAGUCGUCGGGCGAGAUACCAGAAUUGCAGCAGCGGUGAAAGAGAGAUAAUCGUUUUUUGUGAGACGAG